RNAcentral lists this ribosomal RNA (492 nucleotides) under uncultured bacterium. Its description in RNAcentral is "partial 16S ribosomal RNA". It matches the Rfam family "Bacterial small subunit ribosomal RNA", at positions 29 to 507 of the family's 1533-position model. The record is from RNAcentral.
AGUGAACGCUGGCGGUAGGCCUAACACAUGCAAGUCGAACGGCAGCACAGUAAGAGCUUGCUCUUACGGGUGGCGAGUGGCGGACGGGUGAGGAAUACAUCGGAAUCUACUUUUUCGUGGGGGAUAACGUAGGGAAACUUACGCUAAUACCGCAUAUGACCUACGGGUGAAAGCAGGGGAUCUUCGGACCUUGCGCGAUUGAAUGAGCCGAUGUCGGAUUAGCUAGUUGGCGGGGUAAAGGCCCACCAAGGCGACGAUCCGUAGCUGGUCUGAGAGGAUGAUCGGCCACACUGGAACUGAGACACGGUCCAGACUCCUACGGGAGGCAGCAGUGGGGAAUAUUGGGCAAUGGGCGAAAGCCUGAUCCAGCCAUACCGCGUGAGUGAAGAAGGCCUUCGGGUUGUAAAGCCCUUUUGUUGGGAAAGAAAAACAGCAGGUUAAUACCCCGCUGUUCUGACGGUACCCAAAGAAUAAGCACCGGCUAACUUCGUG